UACAGAGGUCUCAAGCGUUGUUCGGAUUCAUUGGGCGUAAAGGGUGUGUAGGUGGCGCGCUAAGUCGGGUGUGAAAUUUCGGAGCUUAACUCCGAAACUGCAUUCGAUACUGGCGUGCUUGAGGACUGGGGAGGAGACUGGAAUUUACGGUGUAGCAGUGAAAUGCGUAGAUAUCGUAAGGAAGACCAGUGGCGAAGGCGGGUCUCUGGACAGUUCCUGACACUGAGACACGAAAGCCAGGGGAGCAAACGGG
This 253-nucleotide ribosomal RNA is filed under the name uncultured bacterium. RNAcentral describes it as "partial 16S ribosomal RNA". It matches the Rfam family "Bacterial small subunit ribosomal RNA", at positions 524 to 776 of the family's 1533-position model. The record is from RNAcentral.